Molecule: ribosomal RNA, 891 nt
Filed under: Tuber lyonii
Lineage: Eukaryota; Fungi; Ascomycota; Pezizomycetes; Pezizales; Tuberaceae
Description: eukaryotic LSU rRNA
Rfam family: Eukaryotic large subunit ribosomal RNA (bases 291-891)
Source: RNAcentral
GUGAUUGCAGAAUUCAGUGAAUCAUCGAAUCUUUGAACGCACAUUGCGCCUCUUGGUAUUCCUUGAGGCAUGCCUGUUCGAGCGUCACUACAAACCCUCUCAUAGUUAUUAUGGUAUUGAUGGAAGUGAAACUGUGUCUAUUCAUGUACUCACACCACUCCAUUGAAAUGAAUAGGCAGGACAAGUGACAACUGCAAUGGACUUAGUAAAUGGUUUUCAGACAUGGACCAGUUCUUUGCUAUGUUGUACAGCCUGAAUCCAUGGACUCCCAUCCAGUAAGCACCUUGGGUUGACCUCGAAUCAGGUAGGGAUACCCGCUGAACUUAAGCAUAUCAAUAAGCGGAGGAAAAGAAACCAACAGGGAUUGCCCCAGUAACGGCGAGUGAAGCGGCAAAAGCUCAAAUUUGAAAUCUGGCACCCCUGGUGUCCGAGUUGUAAUUUGGAGAGGCAUCUUCCGGAGGGACCCAGCCUAUGUUCCUUGGAACAGGACAUCACAGAGGGUGAGAAUCCCGUUCAUGGCUGGAUGUAUCCUCCAGUGGGUAGUGCCUUCUACGAGUCGAGUUGUUUGGGAAUGCAGCUCAAAAUGGGUGGUAAAUUUCAUCUAAAGCUAAAUAUUGGCGAGAGACCGAUAGCGCACAAGUAGAGUGAUCGAAAGAUGAAAAGCACUUUGAAAAUAGAGUCAAACAGUACGUGAAAUUGUUGAAAGGGAAGCGCUUGAGACCAGACUCAGCCUUUGGCAAACAAUUGUCCUUCUGGACGGUGCACUUGCCCUUGGCUGGGCCAGCAUCAGUUAGGACGGUGGAAUAAAGGCUCGAGGAAUGUGACUCCACUACGGAGUGUUAUAGCCUCGAGUGCCAUACUACCUGUCUUGACUGNGGACCGCGCCUNGCU